CUACGGGUUGCUCCAGUCGAGAAUCUUCCGCAAUGGACGAAAGUCUGACGGAGCGACGCCGCGUGCGGGAUGAAGGCCUUCGGGUUGUAAACCGCUGUCAGUGGGGAGGAAAUGCAUCAGGGUUCUCCCUGGUGUUUAACCGAUCCGCAGAGGAAGCGCAGGCUAAGUUCGUGCCAGCAGCCGCGGUAACACGAACUGCGCGAACGUUAUUCGGAAUCACUGGGCUUAAAGAGUUCGUAGGCGGCCUUUCAAGUCGGGUGUGAAAUCCCUCGGCUCAACCGAGGAAUUGCGCCUGAUACUGUUGGGCUUGAGGGGGAUAGGGGUGAGCGGAACUGAUGGUGGAGCGGUGAAAUGCGUUGAUAUCAUCAGGAACACCGGUGGCGAAGGCGGCUCACUGGAUCUCUUCUGACGCUGAGGAACGAAAGCUAGGGGAGCGAACGGGAUUAGAUACCCCGGUAGUC
Molecule: ribosomal RNA, 461 nt
Filed under: uncultured bacterium
Lineage: Bacteria
Description: partial 16S ribosomal RNA
Rfam family: Bacterial small subunit ribosomal RNA
Source: RNAcentral